AGCUCGUAGUUGGAUUUCUGUUAAUAAUUUAUAUAUAAUAUUUGAUUAAUAUUUAUAUAAUAUUAACAUAAUUCAUAUUACUAAAUUUAUUAGUAUAUGAAAUUUUACUUUGAGAAAAUUAGAGUGCUUAAAGCAGGCAUAUGCCUUGAAUACUCCAGCAUGGAAUAAUAUUAAAGAUUUUUAUCUUUCUUAUUGGUUCUAAGAUAAAAAUAAUGAUUAAUAGGGACAGUUGGGGGCAUUUGUAUUUAACAGUCAGAGGUGAAAUUCUUAGAUUUGUUAAAGACAAACUAAUGCGAAAGCAUUUGCCAAGGAUGUUUUCAUUAAUCAAGAACGAAAGUUAGGGGAUCGAAGACGAUCAGAUACCGUCGUAGUCUUAACCAUAAACUAUGCCAACUAGAGAUUGGAGGUUGUUCCUUACUCCUUCAGCACCUUA
This 433-nucleotide ribosomal RNA is filed under the name Cryptosporidium environmental sequence. Its description in RNAcentral is "SSU rRNA". It matches the Rfam family "Eukaryotic small subunit ribosomal RNA", at positions 626 to 1090 of the family's 1831-position model. Lineage: Eukaryota; Apicomplexa; Conoidasida; Eucoccidiorida; Cryptosporidiidae. The record is from RNAcentral.